This 223-nucleotide unclassified non-coding RNA is filed under the name Salilagenidium thermophilum. RNAcentral's name for it is "ITS1". Lineage: Eukaryota; Oomycota; Peronosporomycetes; Pythiales; Lagenidiaceae. The record is from RNAcentral.
CCACACCAUUAAAAAACUUUCCACGUGAACCUGUACUAUUUGUUUUGUGCUCUUUCUGUUUCUGACUGUUGCUGGUUUAUCUGGCGACGGAUGGAAGGGAUCGAGCUGAACGAAGGCGUCUUUUUUCUCAUUGAGUUAGAAGAUGCCGAUGUACUUUUCAAACCCCUUUUACCUAAUUACUGAUCAUACUCUGAGAACGAAAGUUCUUAGUUUUAAUAGACAA